This 500-nucleotide ribosomal RNA is filed under the name uncultured bacterium. RNAcentral's name for it is "partial 16S ribosomal RNA". It matches the Rfam family "Bacterial small subunit ribosomal RNA", at positions 30 to 523 of the family's 1533-position model. The record is from RNAcentral.
AUUGAACGCUGGCGGAAUGCUUUACACAUGCAAGUCGAACGGCAGCACGGGGGCAACCCUGGUGGCGAGUGGCGAACGGGUGAGUAAUAUAUCGGAACGUGCCCAGUCGUGGGGGAUAACGUAGCGAAAGUUACGCUAAUACCGCAUACGAUCUACGGAUGAAAGCGGGGGAUCGCAAGACCUCGCGCGAUUGGAGCGGCCGAUAUCAGAUUAGGUAGUUGGUGGGUUAAAGGCGCACCAAGCCAACGAUCUGUAGCUGGGUUGAGAGGACGACCAGCCACACUGGGACUUAGAGACGGCCCAGACUCCAACGGGAGACAGCAGUGGGGAAUUUUGGGCAAUGGGCGCAGGCCUAAUCCUGCCAUUCCGCGUGCAGGACGAGGGCCUUCGGGUUGUAAACUGCUUUUGUACGGAACGAAAAAGCCUUGGCUAAUACCCAGGGUCCAUGACGGUACCGUAAGAAUAAGCACCGGCUAACUACGUGCCAGCCGCCGCGGUAA